Molecule: unclassified non-coding RNA, 328 nt
Filed under: soil metagenome
Description: partial contains 5.8S ribosomal RNA, internal transcribed spacer 2, and large subunit ribosomal RNA
Rfam family: 5.8S ribosomal RNA (bases 1-120)
Source: RNAcentral
GAUGAAGAACGCAGCGAAAUGCGAUAAGUAAUGUGAAUUGCAGAAUUCAGUGAAUCAUCGAAUCUUUGAACGCACAUUGCGCCCCUUGGUAUUCCGAGGGGCAUGCCUGUUCGAGCGUCAUUAUAACCCUUCAAGCUCAGCUUGGUGUUGGGGCCUGCUGUAACUGGUAGCCCUUAAAAUCAGUGGCAGUGCUAUUAGGCUCUAAGCGUAGUAAUUCUUCUCGCUAUAGUGUGUAGUGAGCGCUUGCCAGAACCCCAAACUUUUAUAUGAUUGACCUCGGAUCGGGUAGGGAUACCCGCUGAACUUAAGCAUAUCAAUAAGCGGAGGA